GGAUUAGAUACCCUGGUAGUCCGCACGGUAAACGAUGGAUGCCCGCUGUUUGUCCUGAUGGACAAGCGGCCAAGCGAAAGCGUUAAGCAUCCCACCUGGGGAGUACGCCGGCAACGGUGAAACUCAAAGGAAUUGACGGGGGCCCGCACAAGCGGAGGAACAUGUGGUUUAAUUCGAUGAUACGCGAGGAACCUUACCCGGGCUUGAAUUGCAGAGGAAGGAUUUGGAGACAAUGACGCCCUUCGGGGUCUCUGUGAAGGUGCUGCAUGGUUGUCGUCAGCUCGUGCCG
Molecule: ribosomal RNA, 289 nt
Filed under: uncultured bacterium
Lineage: Bacteria
Description: partial 16S ribosomal RNA
Rfam family: Bacterial small subunit ribosomal RNA
Source: RNAcentral